This 533-nucleotide ribosomal RNA is filed under the name soil fungal sp. ANG61. RNAcentral describes it as "eukaryotic LSU rRNA". The stretch from base 160 to 313 matches the Rfam family "5.8S ribosomal RNA". The record is from RNAcentral. Lineage: Eukaryota; Fungi.
UCUGGGUCACCUCCCACCCGUGUUUAUUCUACCUUGUUGCUUCGGCGGGCCCGCCUCACGGCCGCCGGGGGGCACUCGCCCCCGGGCCCGCGCCCGCCGAAGACACCAAUGAACUCUGUCUGAAGAUUGCAGUCUGAGCAGAUUAGCUAAAUCAGUUAAAACUUUCAACAACGGAUCUCUUGGUUCCGGCAUCGAUGAAGAACGCAGCGAAAUGCGAUAAGUAAUGUGAAUUGCAGAAUUCAGUGAAUCAUCGAGUCUUUGAACGCACAUUGCGCCCCCUGGUAUUCCGGGGGGCAUGCCUGUCCGAGCGUCAUUGCUGCCCUCAAGCACGGCUUGUGUGUUGGGCUUCGCCCCCCGGCUCCCGGGGGGCGGGCCCGAAAGGCAGCGGCGGCACCGCGUCCGGUCCUCGAGCGUAUGGGGCUUCGUCACCCGCUCUGUAGGCCCGGCCGGCGCCCGCCGGCGACCCCAAUCAAUCUUUCCAGGUUGACCUCGGAUCAGGUAGGGAUACCCGCUGAACUUAAGCAUAUCAAUAA